Molecule: long non-coding RNA, 203 nt
Filed under: Elaeis guineensis (African oil palm)
Lineage: Eukaryota; Viridiplantae; Streptophyta; Magnoliopsida; Arecales; Arecaceae
Description: long non-coding RNA (EGUI_LNC073682)
Source: RNAcentral
AGUUUGGGCUUUUCAAUCUGGUUUUUCCUCAAGGGGCCAAGAACACUGAUAACGCUUCAGACAAGACCUGUGAUCUCGAAGGGCGAGCAAUCUUGGCCUGAAAACUAACGGCAUUGACCGUAGCUGGUAAAAUGAUAGUCUGACAUAGUAUUUUUUAACAUCGUUAUGAGAGAAAUCAUAAUGCUCAUGCAGAAAGUAUAUUG